RNAcentral lists this ribosomal RNA (808 nucleotides) under uncultured Clostridia bacterium. Its description in RNAcentral is "bacterial SSU rRNA". It matches the Rfam family "Bacterial small subunit ribosomal RNA", at positions 68 to 896 of the family's 1533-position model. Lineage: Bacteria; Bacillati; Bacillota; Clostridia. The record is from RNAcentral.
UAGAUCCCUUCGGGGUGAAGAUGAAAUGGAUUAGCGGCGGACGGGUGAGUAACACGUGAGUAACCUGCCUUAGACAUUGGGAUAGCCUCGGGAAACCGGGAUUAAUACCAAAUGAAAUCACAUAUGCACAUGCAUAAAUGAUCAAAGCUCCGGCGGUCUAAGAUGGACUCGCGUCCCAUUAGCUAGUUGGUGAGGUAACGGCCCACCAAGGCGACGAUGGGUAGCCGGCCUGAGAGGGUGAACGGCCACAUUGGAACUGAGAAACGGUCCAAACUCCUACGGGGGGCAGCAGUGGGGAAUAUUGCACAAUGGAGGGAACUCUGAUGCAGCGACGCCGCGUGAACGAAGAAGGCUUUCGAGUCGUAAAGUUCUUUUAUAUGGGAAGAUAAUGACGGUACCAUAAGAAAAAGCCCCGGCUAACUACGUGCCAGCAGCCGCGGUAAUACGUAGGGGGCUAGCGUUGUCCGGAAUCACUGGGCGUAAAGGGUUCGCAGGCGGAAAUGCAAGUCAGGUGUAAAAGGCAGUAGCUUAACUACUGUAAGCAUUUGAAACUGCAUAUCUUGAGAAGAGUAGAGGUAAGUGGAAUUUUUAGUGUAGCGGUGAAAUGCGUAGAUAUUAAAAAGAAUACCGGUGGCGAAGGCGACUUACUGGGCUCAUUCUGACGCUGAGGAACGAAAGCGUGGGUAGCAAACAGGAUUAGAUACCCUGGUAGUCCACGCUGUAAACGAUGAGUGCUAGGUAUCGGAAUAAUUCGGUGCCGCAGUUAACACAUUAAGCACUCCGCCUGGGGAGUACGUGCGCAAGCAUG